ACGUAGGAGGCGAGCGUUAUCCGGAGUUACUGGGCGUAAAGCGCGUGUAGGUGGUUGAGCAAGUUGCGUGUGAAAGCGCCCGGCUAAACUGGGCGAGGACAGGCAAGACUGCUUGGCUAGAGGGUGAUAGAGGGGCGUGGAAUUCCGGGUGUAGCGGUGAAAUGUGCAGAGAUCCGGAGGAACACCAGUGGUGGAGACGGCGCCCUGGGUCACACCUGACACUGAGACGCGAAAGCGUGGGGAGCGAACGG
RNAcentral lists this ribosomal RNA (251 nucleotides) under uncultured prokaryote. RNAcentral's name for it is "partial 16S ribosomal RNA". It matches the Rfam family "Bacterial small subunit ribosomal RNA", at positions 525 to 775 of the family's 1533-position model. The record is from RNAcentral.